RNAcentral lists this unclassified non-coding RNA (361 nucleotides) under soil metagenome. RNAcentral's name for it is "partial contains 5.8S ribosomal RNA, internal transcribed spacer 2, and large subunit ribosomal RNA". The stretch from base 1 to 119 matches the Rfam family "5.8S ribosomal RNA", at positions 35 to 154 of the family's 154-position model. The record is from RNAcentral.
GAUGAAGAACGUAGCGAAAUGCGAUAAGUAUGUGAAUUGCAGAAUUCAGUGAAUCAUCGAAUCUUUGAACGCACCUUGCGCUCCUUGGUAUUCCGAGGAGCAUGCCUGUUUGAGUGUCAUUAAUAUAUCAACCUUCUCUUUUUUGAGUUGUUUGGAUGUGGGGGUUUGCUGGCCUCUUAAAUGAUUCAGCUCCCCUGAAAUGCAUUAGCAGAACAACCUGUUCAUUAGCGUGAUAAUUAUCUAUGCUAUUGAAUGUGAGGGCAGUUCAGCUUUCUAACCGUCCUUGGACAAUUCAUCAUUAAUGUGACCUCAAAUCAGGUAGGACUACCCGCUGAACUUAAGCAUAUCAAUAAGCGGAGGA